AGAGUUUGAUCCUGGCUCAGAACGAACGCUGGUGGUAUGCUUAACACAUGCAAGUCGAACGAGUACGACCUAGCUUGCUAGGUACGAUGAGUGGCAGACGGGUGAGUAAUGUAUAGGAAUCUACCUAGUAGUAAGGAAUAACUCAUGGAAACAUGAGCUAAUACUGUAUACUACCGAUUUAUCGGGAAAGGCUUCGGCCGCUAUUAGAUGAGCCUAUAUCGGAUUAGUUUGUUGGUGGGGUAAAGGCCUACCAAGACUGUGAUCUGUAGCUGGUUUGAGAGAAUGAUCAGCCACACUGGAACUGCGACACGGUCCAGACUCCUACGGGAGGCAGCAGUGAGGAAUUUUGGACAAUGGGCGAAAGCCUGAUCCAGCAAUACCACGUGAGUGAUGAAGGCCUUAGGGUUGUAAAGCUCUUUCAGUAGGGAAGAUAAUGACGGUACCUACAGAAGAAGCACCGGCUAAUUCCGUGCCAGCAGCCGCGGUAAUACGGAAGGUGCUAGCGUUGUUCGGAUUUAUUGGGCGUAAAGCGUACGUAGGCGGUUUAGUGUGUUAGAUGUGAAAUCCCAGAGCUCAACUUUGGAAUUGCAUUUAAAACUGCUAGACUUGAGUAUAAUAAGAGAUGGCGGAAUUUCUAGUGUAGGGGUGAAAUCCGUAGAUAUUAGAGGGAACAUCAGAGGUGCAGACGACCAUCUUGGUUAUAGCUGACGCUGAGGUACGAAAGCGUGGGUAGCAAACAGGAUUAGAUACCCUGGUAGUCCACGCCGUAAACGAUGAGUGCUAGGUGUCCGGAAUUAAUUUUCUGGGUGACGAAGCUAACGCGUUAAGCACUCCGCCUGGGGACUACGGUCGCAAGACUAAAACUCAAAGGAAUUGACGGGGACCCGCACAAGCGGUGGAACAUGUGGUUUAAUUCGAUGCUACGCGAAAAACCUUACCAGCUCUUGACAUCCCGAUCGCGAGGCACAGAGAUGAGCCUCUUUAGUUCGGCUGGAUCGGUGACAGGUGCUGCAUGGCUGUCGUCAGCUCGUGUCGUGAGAUGUUAGGUUAAGUCCUUUAACGAGCGCAACCCUCGUCCUUAUUUGCCAUCAGGUUAUGCUGGGAACUAUAAGGAGACCGCCGGUGACAAACCGGAGGAAGGUGGGGAUGAUGUCAAGUCAUCAUGGCCCUUAUGGGCUGGGCUACACACAUGCUACAAUGGGAGUUACAACGGGAUGCAAAGGAGCGAUCUGGAGCAAAUCCUUUAAAAGCUCUCUCAGUUCGGAUUGCAGGCUGCAACUCGCCUGCAUGAAGUUGGAAUCGCUAGUAAUCGCGGAUCAGCACGCCGCGGUGAAUACGUUCUCGGGUCUUGUACACACUGCCCGUCAAGCCAUGGAAAUUGCUUCUGCCCGAAUUCGGUGAGCUAACUCGCAAGAGAGGUAGCCGAACACGGUGGGGGCGGUAACUGGGGUUAAGUCGUAACAAGGUAACC
Molecule: ribosomal RNA, 1471 nt
Filed under: uncultured prokaryote
Description: partial 16S ribosomal RNA
Rfam family: Bacterial small subunit ribosomal RNA
Source: RNAcentral